This 24-nucleotide non-coding RNA is filed under the name Arabidopsis thaliana (thale cress). The record is from RNAcentral. Lineage: Eukaryota; Viridiplantae; Streptophyta; Magnoliopsida; Brassicales; Brassicaceae.
ACAAUUGUCUCAUUGAUUCGUGGU